GCUCCUGUUGUCUAGCCUGGAAAUUGUUCAUUAGGCAGAUAGGAUACACCCCUGCGGAGGGUGUGGCCCGGGUUCGAAUCCCGGCAGGGGCA
RNAcentral lists this transfer RNA (92 nucleotides) under Candidatus Woesearchaeota archaeon. Its description in RNAcentral is "tRNA-Arg". Lineage: Archaea; Nanobdellati; Candidatus Woesearchaeota. The record is from RNAcentral.